Molecule: ribosomal RNA, 566 nt
Filed under: Aspergillus flavus
Lineage: Eukaryota; Fungi; Ascomycota; Eurotiomycetes; Eurotiales; Aspergillaceae
Description: eukaryotic LSU rRNA
Rfam family: 5.8S ribosomal RNA (bases 179-335)
Source: RNAcentral
GGCUUCGGCUUAGUGUCUAGCGAGCCACCUCCACCCGUGUUUACUGUACCUUAGUUGCUUCGGCGGGCCCGCAUUCAUGGCCGCCGGAGCCUCUCAGCUCGAGCACGCGACGGCGGGAGACACCACGAUCUCUGUCUGAUCUAGUGAAGUCUGAGUUGAUUGUAUCGCAAUCAGUUAAAACUUUAAACAAUGGCAUCUCUUGGUCUCCGGCAUCUAUGAAGAGCAAUACGAAAUGCGAUAACGAGUGUGAAUUGCAGAAUUCCGUGAAUCAUCGAGUCUUUGAACGCAGUUUGCGCCCCCUCGCUAUUCCGGGGGUCAUGCCUGUCCGAGCGAGAUUCCUGCCCAUCAGGCACGACUUGUUGCUAGACACGCCACUCCCACUCCGGGGGAUCAGACCGACAAAGUGAGGUCUCCGACCGGCUCCGAUCCUCGAGUGAGAGCCCCUUUGUCACCUGCUCGGUAGGCCCGCCCAGCGCUUGCAGAAAGCAAAUAAAUCUUUUUCCAGGUGGACCUCGGGAUCAGCCAGGGAUACGCGCUGAACUUAAGCAUAUCAACCCGGGGGGGAA